GUAGAAAGUUGUCUUCAAAUUCUCAGUCUGGGGAAGAUCUGUCUGUGUUCUUUAAGCACUUCAACAAAACAGCUGAGGCUCUGUCUGCUUUAAGAAUAGUUUGCUAGUAUUGUGUUUGGUGGGUUAUUUUCUUCCACUUCAUUGCCAUAAUAUCCUCAGCUGUAUCACCCUCCUAUUGUAUUGUUAAUACAGAUGAGGGUACAUGGUCUGUGUUUCACUGUUUUUUUGUUGCUUUUUUUUUCUCAACGUGCUAGAAGGAAACAAAAUCCUUAACAAGUGACAAGGUCCAAUUUUCCCUGUCAACAGUGAGACCUCUAUUCUGUUUGCACUGAAAUCUUUGGCAAAAGUCCCAAUAGUUAGAUCUGGAUUUCUCCCUCCUUAAAACAAUAUCUUUCCUUUUGUGCUUUAUCCUCUGCUUGUCAGAAUCAGCUGAUUAUGAGCUCCUGCACAGAUGACAUUUUAGCUUCAGUAAGCAGGAAGGAGGCAUGAAUUAGGGCUUAGAAAAAAAAAAAAAGUUCAAUAAUUAGCCACAGAGGAAGGAAAACAUCCAAAGGGAAAAAAAAAAAGUACACAGAAGGAACUGACUGACUUCAUUUGGAUGGGCUGCAAAGUUCAGCUGUAAUGAUGGUAGUUAAAUUAAUUAUGAUGAUUUGGUGACAAGGAAGCUAGUUUGUCUUCAAAUGCUGUGCAUUAUUUUUUAACCAAGGAGAAGUAACUUUGCACAUUGCUGCUGCUCUGCUGGAAUAGUAGAUAUCAGACAGUCCUCAAGACUUGUAAACUGUGCUUUCAUUCAGGAUAUGAUGCAUGAUGGCACAACUUGAUCCCAAACUAACCCUUAGGCCAGGGUUCAGGAUAUCAUUCGAUGUGAGGCAGAGGAUGGGACGUGUAUUCUGAGUGGAGAAAAAGCAUCGAGGAAAACCAAAACAUUUUGAUCUUCAUUUAUGUGGGAAAGUGAGGCCGACAUGUGAAAUACAGCAACCCAGGCUGCAGCCACCCGGAGCAUGCAGGGGGUUAAACAGCCCUUAACCCCUCCACUUGACCUUGCCCAUCUUCGUAUUUCAGCACAGACAGUGGCACAGCUGCACAGCAGUCCUCGCUGGGGAACAGCCCGGUGAGAAAUAACAUGGACAGGGGAAUGGGUGCAAGAGAGGAG
RNAcentral lists this long non-coding RNA (1153 nucleotides) under Gallus gallus (chicken). RNAcentral's name for it is "lncRNA (ENSGALG00010026998.1)". The record is from RNAcentral. Lineage: Eukaryota; Metazoa; Chordata; Aves; Galliformes; Phasianidae.